Molecule: non-coding RNA, 4595 nt
Organism: Xyrichtys novacula (pearly razorfish)
Lineage: Eukaryota; Metazoa; Chordata; Actinopteri; Labriformes; Labridae
Source: the annotation of a GenBank genome assembly
GUUGGGGUUUGGGAACAAGAAAAACAACUGCUGUCAUGUUGAAUGUCUCCUUUUUGACCUUAGGUAGGAUUCCAGCUGCUUGUCAGUUCAGGAUUGCUUGUUCUAUUUUAAAUUUCUUAAUAAUGAAAACAUUACAGAAUGUGUUUUUUGAAAGGUUACCAAGGCUCUCAAUAUUGCUAAACAAAGUUGUUUCGUCCUUUUUGAACUGGUGCUUUGCAGUAGUGUCUACAGUGACCAUUUCCUGCAGUUUGUAUGCAGGCAAGAAGGGGAAGUUUUGAAGCAAGCCACAAGUAACUAUUCCAUGGUGGACUGUGAUGAUCUUGUGGAAGUUCUUGAUGGCUAUGGCUGUUAAAGAAGAAUCACCACUGAGAAUAUUUGCUAGAUACUUCAUGUAUCACAAAGAGCUUGUCCAGAAGCCAAUAUUUGUGAUUGUCUGCUAGAGGGAAAUCACCCUUGAUUAUCUCUUCCUCAGUUCAGAGCAACUGACCAAGUUGCUCUCCGACCUGCAACCAACCUCAAAGAAGGUGUGCCAUUUGCUGAAGUUUGAUGCUGAUUGAACUCCAUAGCAAAAGUAAGCGAGAAUUACCUGAAAAGAGUCAUCUAGGAACUUGAUUAGCCCCAGAAAAUGCUUACUUUUUAAAUUUUAUAAUGUCUUCAGGUAAGAUAAUUUUUAAGGAGCUGACAUUCUUAACUUUUUAUCAUAUAGCAGACACAUUUAAUCCAGCACCAUUUCUGAGAUCCUGGAUUAAAGCUGGACUUAUUUUCUGAAGCCUCAGGAUAGUAAUAAAUACAAGUCAAGCCUGUUAGGUUGAGGUCAGAAAAACAUUUGAAUCUAUUAUGCUGCAUGGGAUGAGCUGUGGUUCACCUGCUGCGCUGAACAUAGAAAUGUGUAUCGCAGUUUGGCCCUAUCGUGCACCUGGCUUAAAGUAGCCCAUUGUGGCAUGCAAAAAAAAUGUUUUUAUUUUUUUCACCUGAUGCACUCCUCACUUCCACACGCAGAUCCCACGCUCUGAGUUGAUAUCAGAUGAACAUGCGCUCAAGUUAUCAUACAUAGUUGUGGUGGUCACGCGCAAAUGCGCGUUGCUAUCUGGAGGAAGCAUGAUGUUUCUGUGCCUCAGACCAUCAGAAACCUGGUUUAAAGGUUAAGAUGUACCUUAGUUGUUCAGAGAGUAUUCUUUUAAGAGAGAGGGGUUAAAAGGCGGCUAAAAGAGCCGACAGUGUGCCUUGUCUUUUAUGUCCAGAGACACACAGCCGAGCUCUCGUGUGUUUUUUCUGAUACAGUGAAAUUGAGUUCUUUACUUGGUCAGAGGGCUUGGCAAUAGCCUACACUUCCUUGUCUCUAUACACCGCAAGGCUGCUCACUGCUUUCCUCUCCUAAACUUAGCCCUGCUGGGCUCCAAAGCUGCAGCCUGAGAGGUAACCAAGCCUUUUGUGCACUUUCUAAAUUACGUGCAUAAAUUACGUGUAUAUUUUGCAGUCUUCAAAUAUAACAGUUGACCUUGCUGUGUGCUUAUUGAAUUGGGAAACAUGGUCAGUUGCUCUUGCUUAUUCUGCUUGGUGAAAUAAGGUUCAUAUUGUGCAUAUGUGGGUUAGUGAUGUGUGUCAGCACGUGCACUGGGUUCAGUAGUUGCCAGAGUGCUCUCCUUGUAACAAUGUUGGUAAUAUGUGAAGUGUGUAGAUGCAGUAGUUGUAAAUGACUGCUGGAUCUUUACAAGAUUCCCUGAUUCAGACAUUUCUUUCUUUCUUUAUUUCUUUUCUUUUUUUUCUUUUUUUUUGGGGGGGGGGGGGCACUAAAAUCUAGACUACACUACUGAAAAAAAUGUACUAAAACCCAAAAUGUAACAAGUUAUUUGAUUUUUGGCAAAAAGUUUUCAUCUUGUUAGAUUUUGGGUAAAUUAUUACAUGGGGGGGGGGGGGGGGUAUUUUUAUUUUUUUUAUUACAUUUCAGGUUGUUGAUACAUAUCAGGCUCUAACAUGCCUCCUGAUUGUGACUCCCCACCUGUGUCCUAUCAACCUCAUAUUUAACCACGUCUCUCACUGUCUUGUUGCCGUUCCUUGUGCUUCACAGUCCUUUUUCCAGCUCUUUUUCUUCACAGUCAUAGUCACAGUCACCCAGUGUAUUGAACCUUGCCUUUUUUUUUUACCUUGGGCUCUAUUUUCGUGUCUGCCAGGACCACGGCAGAGGGUGGCGGACCCUGCGCAGUGGUAUACUGGUAUAUAAAAUUUAUUUUAUAUGCCAACAUCUAUGAAAGAAAGAGCCAGGCCACAGAGUGCGAUGCGUCAGUUCCGAUUUUAAUGCCAUUAUUGGAAUUUAUGUUAUGAUCUGUGCACACAACCCACCUUUGUCACGUGAGGUUAUCAUAUAUGCAACUUUAUGUGAGUGUCAUUCUUUGUGGAAAAGGGUGUUUGUCUUACCAGUGGGUCCAACAUUACACACACCAAAUCCAUCUGUGCUAAUAUGAGAGAGUGUGGAGGACGCCCUCUGCAGCGCUUACAGCGACACUUGUUGAGGGGCUGCCUUCGUCGCCAUAGUGUGGCAUUGCUGUCUUCACACAUCUCUUGAUCUCUUUGACUACUUCAUGAAAAUUGUAAUAUGCCUCGCCGGUGGCGGUAUUAAAGGUGAGGAGAGGAACUGAUGUUAUUGGUCAAUACAGGUCUCGGCUGUGCUAAACCCACUCCACGCCCUCUCUCCUCCCUCCCUACGACUUACGCCGCUAGGAGGAGCUGAGUUAGGGAGGGGGAUACUUAUGCCGGGCUGGGCCACUCACCAAAAUACCAAAAUGUGCACGAAAAUAUAGCCCCUUGUCUACCUUGUCGGCCUGCUUACCUGUGUAAAUAAACCCUGUCUUUUUUUUUUUUUUUUUUUUAAGAACUACAUUGGUGCUGUGCAUUUUUGUCCAGUAAAUCUGUGCCUCAAUUCAUGACACACUCAGUGUUUUUAAUUUCCCAAUUCUUAAAGACAGAAAAAACGUAUUGAGCAUUGGCCAACAUGCUCUCCCGUAACAAGCCUUAUCUGCAAAUGAAAAGACAAUGUCAAUUACUUGAUCAUAAAUUUUUAAAUAUGCUCAAAGACAAGGAGCAGGUACAUCAGCUCAAGAAGGAGGUAGCGAGCAGUCUGGAGAACAUUGCCAGAACCCUACUGUACACAUACGACUGGAGACAUGAAUACACUCUUUUGUUCAACUUUAUUCUAUACGUUCGUCUCUCAUAACAUCCUGUCUGUCCUCUCAUCCAGUCCCUACGGAACUACUUACGAUAGUAUAUGUUCCCACACAUAUCCUAUCAGUACAUCUCCCCCUUUUAGCUUAAUGUCAGAUUUCUUUAAGAGCUAUUGUUUCUUUUUUCAAUUUGUCAAUAUCUUGAACAAUAAACAUGAACAGCAAAUAAUAGUGCAAUUUCUGAAUAGUGCAAUAUCCCAAUCAUUUCUCUUAAACAUUUUCUGCAUUGACCAUCCUGUAUGUCUUGUAAACAUUCUGUAAUACUCUCCUCUUUCUCUCCUUUUUCCAAAGACAUUCGUAUUAUUUCAAACAAAACAAUGCAACAUGGAGCUUGAAUGUCUAACUCCUAGGGGUCAGGGUAGACUGCCUGGAUCCCCAAAGCUAUGCAAGGAUUAUUCUGCCUUGUGAAGGAACCACAGCUUUUUAACCUGAGAACUUUUUAACUAUAAGUCCAUUCUCUUAGGUGGUCUAGUACACCUGCCGGAUCUGGUCACCGUGGAAGUCUCUGGAACAACCCUGAUGUGAGAUCUAUUUCUCCUAAUACUACCUGUGGGCAGAUCUACGUUGUAAGACCUCGGUGUGUGUCCUGGACCACUAACAAUUCCAGUUUCACUUGUGUUUUUCACCAAGACUCUCUGUCCUGGUCUGAGCUCUUGUUUGGCCUUGGCGUUGUGUCGCUUUUCGAACCAGGAGGCCUGUUUCAUUUCCAAGUCCUGAUCUUUCCUCCUGAAGUCCUGAGGGUCAGGCCAACCUGGCUACAGCUUCUCUCAAAUGACGAGUAAGGGCGUUCUGAUGUUACGGCCCAUUAGCAGUUGUGCAGGAGAAGACCCGUGGGCCAAAGGGGUGGCUCUGUAAGCCAUGAGAGCCCUGUGUGGAGCUUCCCCGUUACUAUGUGGGUAGCGGGGCCUGCUUGUAGUGUGACUGAAGCCAUAGUCACUGGCAAAAGCUGCUGCUGAGAAUUGGGGGCUGUUAUCAGUGACGAGAGUCUCAGGAACCCCAUGGCGGGUGAAGAUAGAUUUCAGCUUCUCUGUCACGUGGGCUGUGGUAGUGGAUGAGAGGUUGGCUACUUCUAUGUAGUGGGAGAAGUAGUCAAUUACCACGACAUACAUGGCGCUGUUCCACUGGAAUAGAUCCGCUGCUACACGCUGCCAGGGCCUGUCAGGCAACGUUGUUGACUGCAGUGGCUCCGGUGCAUUGUAAGCCUCACGUGCACAGGUCACACAGUUCUCCACUUUCCUUUUGAUCUGAGUGGUUAAACCAGGCCACCAGACGGAUUGUUGUGCUCUGGCGGCACACUUCGUCAUGCCUUGGUGGCCGUCAUGAAGUUUAUCGAGCAUUUCCUCUUGCAUGGUGAACGGAAUGACAAGUCUCUCACCC